This 388-nucleotide ribosomal RNA is filed under the name uncultured bacterium. Its description in RNAcentral is "bacterial SSU rRNA". It matches the Rfam family "Bacterial small subunit ribosomal RNA", at positions 30 to 416 of the family's 1533-position model. The record is from RNAcentral.
AUUGAACGCUGGCGGCGUGCUUAACACAUGCAAGUCGAGCGGUAACAGGUGUAGCAAUACAUGCUGACGAGCGGCGAACGGGUGAGUAAUGCUUCGGAAUCUUCCUCGUAGUGGGGAAUAACCUGGGGAAACUCAGGCUAAUACCGCAUACGAACUACGGUUGAAAGCAGGGGAUCGCAAGACCUUGCGCUAUGAGAUGAGCCGAAGUCGGAUUAGCUAGUUGGUGAGGUAAAGGCUCACCAAGGCGACGAUCCGUAGCGGGUCUGAGAGGAUGAUCCGCCACACUGGGACUGAGACACGGCCCAGACUCCUACGGGAGGCAGCAGUGGGGAAUUUUGGACAAUGGGCGAAAGCCUGAUCCAGCCAUGCCGCGUGUCUGAAGAAGGCC